CGCGCUGCGGUACCGACCCGGUCCGGCGACCGGCCCCGCUCCACGGCGGGCAGCCCGAUAGGCACAGGGAGCGAGGACCGGGAGCUGGAUGGCGGUGUGGAGGCCUGAGGCGAAGGCUAAGCCUGCCCCUCCCCGGGCCGCCUUCAGCGAGCUUCGGCGCGGGUCUCCGCGUUGAGAGAAGUGAUGAGUCAGGUUUGCUCGGCUCCAUGCUAAUGCACGGAGAUGGAGGGUGUAAUUAGUAGAGAGGCAGGGCUGUGAUCUGCAGCGCGGGGCGGCCGGGCCACGCACCUCCUCUGUGCUUCAGAGCGUCGCUGAAGUUCUCCUUGUUUCGUGCUCCUCCAGCCCCAACGGUGUAUAUGCAGGGUUUGGUGGGAGCAGAGCCACAGACGUCGGAAGGUGUCUGUGUGUGAAGCACCCCGCGUUAUGUAAUUCUGAUGUUGAAAGAUGACGGUAAGAAGGAUUUGAUUUAGUCAUGGAAACUGAAUAUUGCGGCUCCCCAAAUCUCUAAGAAGUCUUAGGAUGUUGCAUACAGCGUUCUCAAGGUUUCUCCCGUCCAAGUAAUUGUAAAUGGCCCGCUUGAGAGCUGUGAUCUGCUUUAUAUGCUUUCAUCCAUUAGAAUACCUCUUGUCUUUGCAAAACGACACAUUGUGUAAUUUAGGCAACUGGCUGGGCUAAGAAGGGCACAAUGAAGUGAGUAAUUUACAUCUCUUAGGGAGAUUAAUUGAACCCAGCUCUGGUCGUCUUCAAGAACUACUGAGAAGUUUCUCGGCAAACUUCUCCACCCGAAGUAAAAUCACAGCCUCCGCCACCUUGCCCCUUCCAGCAGCUUCUGAAGGAAUCUUCACCUCAAACAGAGCUGUCAGCAGCAGUGAGGGCUGCCACUCACCAGUCAUUUCAAUGCGGAAAGCACUCGAGACACAGCAACAGGCAACAGAACGCAGCGCUCACAGAGAAACAAAUUGACAAGUACCCACGACUGGACAUCCUCAGAAACACGGUUGUGUCCUGUUCCUCUCCACUGCAGUUAUUCCCACUCAGAGUGACCACUUCAGAGCUUUAACAAAGCCCAUUACAAACGGGAACAUUUUCCGUUAGCCAAGUGAGUGUGAAAGUAAAGCUGACACGUAAGGCAACUUACAAUUGGAGAAAUUUGAUAUCUAGUCUCUGUUCUGCCACAAACUUCUUGUGAGAGGAGGAGGGACAUACUCUCCCAGAUGCCUGAAGUACUCUGUGAACUACCUCCCUUAAACUAUAAGCACUUAAGUACCUUUGUGGCUCCCAGACUUGCCAUUCAGCUGUUUAGUGUCUGAGAACUCUCAAGAGAAACAUACACUUUGUGUUUCAUUGUUUCUGGAAACAAUACAGCAAAUAGAAGUCGACUAACC
This 1385-nucleotide long non-coding RNA is filed under the name Gallus gallus (chicken). RNAcentral describes it as "long non-coding RNA NONGGAT001371". Lineage: Eukaryota; Metazoa; Chordata; Aves; Galliformes; Phasianidae. The record is from RNAcentral.